GCCCCUGUCGGCCGGUCCGCCUUCUUGGUGUGUACUUGCUCGACGGGGGCUUACCUCCUGGUGAGCGGCGAUGCCCUUUACUGGGUGUCGUCGGGAACCAGGACAUUUACUUUGAAAAAAUUAGAGUGUUCAAAGCAGGCCUACGCCCGAAUACAUUAGCAUGGAAUAAUAAAAUAGGACGCGCGUUCCCAUUUUGUUGGUUUCUGAGAUCGCCGUA
RNAcentral lists this ribosomal RNA (217 nucleotides) under uncultured fungus. RNAcentral's name for it is "partial small subunit ribosomal RNA". The stretch from base 91 to 217 matches the Rfam family "Eukaryotic small subunit ribosomal RNA", at positions 736 to 864 of the family's 1831-position model. The record is from RNAcentral. Lineage: Eukaryota; Fungi.